Molecule: long non-coding RNA, 566 nt
Filed under: Gossypium barbadense (sea-island cotton)
Lineage: Eukaryota; Viridiplantae; Streptophyta; Magnoliopsida; Malvales; Malvaceae
Description: long non-coding RNA (GBAR_LNC009469)
Source: RNAcentral
AUCAGGCAAAGGCCAUGGGGGAAAUGGGCGGCUGAGAUAAGAGAUCCUCACAAAGGUGUCCGAGUCUGGCUCGGUACAUACAACACGGCUGAAGAAGCGGCUCGAGCCUACGAUGAAGCCGCCAAGCGCAUCCGUGGGGAGAAAGCCAAGCUCAACUUCCCUCAAACUCCACACCUAACUCAGCCUCCUGCUAAGAAAAGGUGUACGAUGGCUCCUGAGUUGACUCCGCCGAGUUCUGAAACAAAGAGCCCACCAACCCCACAACUUUUUAUGGGUUUUGGUUACGAGAAUGGAGUUUACAGACCGAGUGAAGCAAUGGAAAGCGAGAUGGAGCUGAAGGAGCAAAUCUCGAGCCUGGAGUCGUUCCUGGGUUUGGAGCCUGAUGAGACAACAACUGAGUUGAGUGGAAGUGCUGAGCCUGACUCAGUGGACCUUUGGAUGCUUGAUGACCUUGUGACACAUCAUCAACAACAGCCUCAGCUCUUUUAUUAGAAAUUAAAAAGUUUUAAUUAGGGUAAUGUUAUGUUUGAUAUGAUUAUGCUUAAGACUUUAAUGUUUGUAUUAAU